Molecule: ribosomal RNA, 131 nt
Filed under: uncultured bacterium
Lineage: Bacteria
Description: partial 16S ribosomal RNA
Rfam family: Bacterial small subunit ribosomal RNA
Source: RNAcentral
UGGGGAAUUUUGGACAAUGGGCGAAAGCCUGAUCCAGCCAUUCCGCGUGCAGGAUGAAGGCCCUCGGGUUGUAAACUGAUUUUGUACAGAACGAAAAAGCUCUGGCUAAUACCGGAGUCCAUGACGUACUA